UUUUUUUUUAGUUUUUUCU
Molecule: small RNA, 19 nt
Filed under: Arabidopsis thaliana (thale cress)
Lineage: Eukaryota; Viridiplantae; Streptophyta; Magnoliopsida; Brassicales; Brassicaceae
Description: ATSL003210
Source: RNAcentral